This 72-nucleotide transfer RNA is filed under the name Pajaroellobacter abortibovis. It matches the Rfam family "tRNA". From Rfam's summary of the family: Transfer RNA (tRNA) molecules are approximately 80 nucleotides in length. Their secondary structure includes four short double-helical elements and three loops (D, anti-codon, and T loops). Further hydrogen bonds mediate the characteristic L-shaped molecular structure. tRNAs have two regions of fundamental functional importance: the anti-codon, which is responsible for specific mRNA codon recognition, and the 3' end, to which the tRNAs corresponding amino acid is attached (by aminoacyl-tRNA synthetases). tRNAs cope with the degeneracy of the genetic code in two manners: having more than one tRNA (with a specific anti-codon) for a particular amino acid; and 'wobble' base-pairing, i.e. permitting non-standard base-pairing at the 3rd anti-codon position. The record is from Rfam by way of RNAcentral. Lineage: Bacteria; Pseudomonadati; Myxococcota; Polyangiales; Polyangiaceae.
AGGCGCGUAGCUCAGUGGUAGAGCGCUACCUUGACACGGUAGAAGUCGUUGGUUCAAUUCCAAUCGCGCCUA